This 447-nucleotide ribosomal RNA is filed under the name uncultured bacterium. RNAcentral describes it as "bacterial SSU rRNA". It matches the Rfam family "Bacterial small subunit ribosomal RNA", at positions 40 to 507 of the family's 1533-position model. The record is from RNAcentral.
CGGCGUGCCUAACACAUGCAAGUCGAACGAGGUCCAUCCUUCGGGAGAAGACCUAGUGGCGAACGGGUGAGUAACACGUGAAGAACCUGCCCCGAAGACCGGGAUAACCCUCCGAAAGGAGAGCUAAUACCGGAUACCCCCACGAACCGCAUGGUUGGUGAGGAAAUGGAUUCCGCUUCGGGAGGGCUUCGCGGCCUAUCAGCUAGUUGGUGGGGUAACGGCCCACCAAGGCAUCGACGGGUAGCUGGUCUGAGAGGACGAUCAGCCACACUGGGACUGAGACACGGCCCAGACUCCUACGGGAGGCAGCAGUGGGGAAUCUUGCGCAAUGGGCGAAAGCCUGACGCAGCAACGCCGCGUGGGGAUGAAGGCUCUCGGGUUGUAAACCCCUUUCAGCAGGGACGAAUCAAGACGGUACCUGCAGAAGAAGCCCCGGCUAACUACGUG